GGCGGCCCCCUGGACAAAGACUGACGCUCAGGUGNGAAAGCGUGGGGAGCAAACNGGAUUAGAUNNNNGGUANNCCACGCUGUAAACGAUGUCGAUUUGGAGGUUGUGCCCUNGAGGCGUGGCUUCCGGAGCUAACGCGUUAAAUCGACCGCCUGGGGAGUACGGCCGCAAGGUUAAAACUCAAAUGAAUUGACGGGGGCCCGCACAAGCGGUGGAGCAUGUGGUUUAAUUCGAUGCAACGCGAAGAACCUUACCUACUCUUGACAUCCACAGAACUUUCCAGAGAUGGAUUGGUGCCUUCGGGAACUGUGAGACAGGUGCUGCAUGGCUGUCGUCAGCUCGUGUUGUGAAAUGUUGGGUUAAGUCCCGCAACGAGCGCAACCCUUAUCCUUUGUUGCCAGCACUUCGGGUGGGAACUCAAAGGAGACUGCCGGUGAUAAACCGGAGGAAGGUGGGGAUGACGUCAAGUCAUCAUGGCCCUUACGAGUAGGGCUACACACGUGCUACAAUGGCGUAUACAAAGAGAAGCAAACUCGCGAGAGCCAGCGGACCUCAUAAAGUACGUCGUAGUCCGGAUUGGAGUCUGCAACUCGACUCCAUGAAGUCGGAAUCGCUAGUAAUCGUAGAUCAGAAUGCUACGGUGAAUACGUUCCCGGGCCUUGUACACACCGCCCGUCACACCAUGGGAGUGGGUUGCAAAAGAAGUAGGUAGCUUAACCUUCGGGAGGGCGUUUACCACGGUGUGAUUCAUGACUGGGGUG
This 761-nucleotide ribosomal RNA is filed under the name uncultured prokaryote. RNAcentral's name for it is "bacterial SSU rRNA". It matches the Rfam family "Bacterial small subunit ribosomal RNA", at positions 720 to 1482 of the family's 1533-position model. The record is from RNAcentral.